This 498-nucleotide ribosomal RNA is filed under the name Klebsiella pneumoniae. RNAcentral's name for it is "partial 23S ribosomal RNA". It matches the Rfam family "Bacterial large subunit ribosomal RNA", at positions 419 to 921 of the family's 2925-position model. The record is from RNAcentral. Lineage: Bacteria; Pseudomonadati; Pseudomonadota; Gammaproteobacteria; Enterobacterales; Enterobacteriaceae.
GGGACACGUGGUAUCCUGUCUGAAUAUGGGGGGACCAUCCUCCAAGGCUAAAUACUCCUGACUGACCGAUAGUGAACCAGUACCGUGAGGGAAAGGCGAAAAGAACCCCGGCGAGGGGAGUGAAAAAGAACCUGAAACCGUGUACGUACAAGCAGUGGGAGCACCUUCGGGUGUGACUGCGUACCUUUUGUAUAAUGGGUCAGCGACUUAUAUUCUGUAGCAAGGUUAACCGUAUAGGGGAGCCGCAGGGAAACCGAGUCUUAACUGGGCGUUAAGUUGCAGGGUAUAGACCCGAAACCCGGUGAUCUAGCCAUGGGCAGGUUGAAGGUUGGGUAACACUAACUGGAGGACCGAACCGACUAAUGUUGAAAAAUUAGCGGAUGACUUGUGGCUGGGGGUGAAAGGCCAAUCAAACCGGGAGAUAGCUGGUUCUCCCCGAAAGCUAUUUAGGUAGCGCCUCGUGAACUCAUCUUCGGGGGUAGAGCACUGUUUCGGCUA